This 486-nucleotide ribosomal RNA is filed under the name uncultured bacterium. Its description in RNAcentral is "partial 16S ribosomal RNA". It matches the Rfam family "Bacterial small subunit ribosomal RNA", at positions 29 to 507 of the family's 1533-position model. The record is from RNAcentral.
AUUGAACGCUGGCGGCAUGCCUUACACAUGCAAGUCGAACGGCAGCACGGGGGCUUGCACCUGGUGGCGAGUGGCGAACGGGUGAGUAAUACAUCGGAACAUGUCCUGUAGUGGGGGAUGGCCCGGCGAAAGCCGGAUUAAUACCGCAUACGAACUUCGCGUGAAAGCGGGGGCCCUUGGGGCCUCGCGCUAUAGGGUUGGCCGAUGGCUGAUUAGCUAGUUGGUGGGGUAAAGGCCUACCAAGGGGACUACCAGUAUCUGGUCUGAGAGUACGACCAGCGACACGGGGACUGAGACACGGCCCAGACUCCUACGGGAGGCAGCAGUGGGGAAUUUUGGACAAUGGGCGAGAGCCUGAUACAGCAAUGCCGCGUGUGUGAAGAAGGCCUUCGGGUUGUAAAGCACUUUUGUCCGGAAAGAAAUCCUUGGCCCUAAUACGGUCGGGGGAUGACGGUACCGGAAGAAUAAGCACCGGCUAACUACGUG